Molecule: ribosomal RNA, 993 nt
Filed under: Cladosporium bruhnei
Lineage: Eukaryota; Fungi; Ascomycota; Dothideomycetes; Cladosporiales; Cladosporiaceae
Description: SSU rRNA
Rfam family: Eukaryotic small subunit ribosomal RNA
Source: RNAcentral
CUCAUUAAAUCAGUUAUCGUUUAUUUGAUAGUACCUUACUACAUGGAUAACCGUGGUAAUUCUAGAGCUAAUACAUGCUAAAAACCUCGACUUCGGAAGGGGUGUAUUUAUUAGAUAAAAAACCAAUGCCCUUCGGGGCUCCUUGGUGAAUCAUAAUAACUUAACGAAUCGCAUGGCCUUGCGCCGGCGAUGGUUCAUUCAAAUUUCUGCCCUAUCAACUUUCGAUGGUAGGAUAGUGGCCUACCAUGGUAUCAACGGGUAACGGGGAAUUAGGGUUCGACUCCGGAGAGGGAGCCUGAGAAACGGCUACCACAUCCAAGGAAGGCAGCAGGCGCGCAAAUUACCCAAUCCCGACACGGGGAGGUAGUGACAAUAAAUACUGAUACAGGGCUCUUUUGGGUCUUGUAAUUGGAAUGAGUACAAUUUAAAUCCCUUAACGAGGAACAAUUGGAGGGCAAGUCUGGUGCCAGCAGCCGCGGUAAUUCCAGCUCCAAUAGCGUAUAUUAAAGUUGUUGCAGUUAAAAAGCUCGUAGUUGAACCUUGGGCCUGGCUGGCCGGUCCGCCUCACCGCGUGUACUGGUCCGGCCGGGCCUUUCCUUCUGGGGAACCUCAUGCCCUUCACUGGGCGUGUUGGGGAACCAGGACUUUUACUUUGAAAAAAUUAGAGUGUUCAAAGCAGGCCUUUGCUCGAAUACAUUAGCAUGGAAUAAUAGAAUAGGACGUGUGGUUCUAUUUUGUUGGUUUCUAGGACCGCCGUAAUGAUUAAUAGGGAUAGUCGGGGGCAUCAGUAUUCAAUCGUCAGAGGUGAAAUUCUUGGAUUGAUUGAAGACUAACUACUGCGAAAGCAUUUGCCAAGGAUGUUUUCAUUAAUCAGUGAACGAAAGUUAGGGGAUCGAAGACGAUCAGAUACCGUCGUAGUCUUAACCAUAAACUAUGCCGACUAGGGAUCGGACGGUGUUAGUAUUUUGACCCGUUCGGCACCUUACGAGAAAU